Long non-coding RNA from Caenorhabditis elegans, 172 nucleotides. Ensembl annotates it as ncRNA. Its record names the gene linc-170. NCBI's taxonomy places the organism in Eukaryota, Metazoa, Nematoda, Chromadorea, Rhabditida, Rhabditidae. The record is from Ensembl.
CGUUAUAAUAGUUGAAUUUUUCAUAUUUUUCGGUUUGUGCAUGAUCUGCACUUUUUGUUCUGUUUUUGGAUACAUCAUUGUGGCUAAUUGUUGUAUGUCAAGAGGUGGCAUGUAUCGACAUUAUUGAAGAAUGCUCAAUUUAUUUUUAUCAUCAAUAAAUGUUUAGCACAAU